RNAcentral lists this long non-coding RNA (481 nucleotides) under Phascolarctos cinereus (koala). RNAcentral's name for it is "lncRNA (ENSPCIG00000007163.2)". Lineage: Eukaryota; Metazoa; Chordata; Mammalia; Diprotodontia; Phascolarctidae. The record is from RNAcentral.
CGGGCGGCUUGGGGCCAGGGUGUCGGGAGGCUGUCACCUGAGGCAGCCUGACGACGGUUGGUUGCCACGGGUCACGUGCCAGCGACCGGGAAUCCUCUGGAAUGCUACAAGCGGCCCACGUGUGUUGUACAGGCCUGGACCAGGCUGUCAGUCCGUCUGUCUGGACUCUCAGCUCAGGACCACAUCCCUGAGGAUCAAGAAGAAAGUCGCCGAGGUCUGCCAUGGAAGAAGGAAGAAAGAACUCAGCCACUUCAUCCAGAACUAUAGCAAGGCAGUAUCAUCAGUGAUGCCUAGAAGUGGAUUCACAGUGGCGCUUCAAUCACCCAGACACCCUCAAAGAACCGUUAAGGUUUUCUUUGAGAAUAUGCUUUGGCAACCCUCACACUCCUGAACAGUUCAUUGUUUGAAAAUGCUUGACAAGGAGCAGACUGCAAUUAAUUACUUCAAUCCUCCACUUUUGUGUGGGGGAAAUCAAGCUGGU